GCCUCGGUAGCUCAGACUGGUAGAGCACCGGCUUGGUAAGCCGGGGGUCGCGGGUUCGAGUCCCGCCCGAGGCU
RNAcentral lists this transfer RNA (74 nucleotides) under Nitrososphaeria archaeon. RNAcentral's name for it is "tRNA-Thr". It matches the Rfam family "tRNA". From Rfam's summary of the family: Transfer RNA (tRNA) molecules are approximately 80 nucleotides in length. Their secondary structure includes four short double-helical elements and three loops (D, anti-codon, and T loops). Further hydrogen bonds mediate the characteristic L-shaped molecular structure. tRNAs have two regions of fundamental functional importance: the anti-codon, which is responsible for specific mRNA codon recognition, and the 3' end, to which the tRNAs corresponding amino acid is attached (by aminoacyl-tRNA synthetases). tRNAs cope with the degeneracy of the genetic code in two manners: having more than one tRNA (with a specific anti-codon) for a particular amino acid; and 'wobble' base-pairing, i.e. permitting non-standard base-pairing at the 3rd anti-codon position. RNAcentral also lists the same sequence under 1 other name. Lineage: Archaea; Thermoproteati; Nitrososphaerota; Nitrososphaeria. The record is from RNAcentral.